Molecule: small RNA, 497 nt
Filed under: Pan troglodytes (chimpanzee)
Lineage: Eukaryota; Metazoa; Chordata; Mammalia; Primates; Hominidae
Description: retained intron
Source: RNAcentral
UGCAGAUGCAGUGUGGCUCUGGAUAGCACCUUAUGGACAGUUGUGUCCCCAAGGAAGGAUGAGAAUAGCUACUGAAGUCCUAAACAGCAAGCCUAACUCAAGCCAUUGGCACACAGGCAUUAGACAGAAAGCUGGAAGUUGAAAUGGUGGAGUCCAACUUGCCUGGACCAGCUUAAUGGUUCUGCUCCUGGUAACGUUUUUAUCCAUGGAUGACUUGCUUGGGUAUGGAGAGUCGGCUUGACUACACUGUGUGGAGCAACUUUUAAAGAAGCAAAGGACUCAGAAUUCAUGAUUGAAGAAAUGCAGGUUAGUUUAAACUUUUAAGGAAAUUUUUAAGGUGGCAAAAGGUUUUGGUGGCAUAUACACCUUAAUCUGUAGAUGGGAGUGAUUAGCUGUUUAAAAGUUAAAAUGUGACUGAGAAGGAAAUUGAGUAGGGCAAAUUUUAAAUGGGUAUUAUUUUUCAUCUUCAAACAGGCAGACCUGUUAUCCUAAACUAG